CUUGACUGUAUCCUGGAAUUGGGUUCGGGCUUUUCUUGCGCAGCCUAGGUGGGAGGCUAUGAAGAUUUCCUUCCGGGGAAGUUGGAGCCAUCAGUGAGAGACCACUCUGGAGAGGCUAGAACCCUAAUGGUGAUCCUUGAAUCAGGACACUUGACAGUUUCAGGUGGGCAGUUUUUCUGGGGCGGAAGCCUCAUAAAGGGUAACUGAGGCGCGCAAAGGUCCCCUCAGUCUGGACGGAAAUCAGACAACGAGUGUAAAGGCAAAAGGGGGCUUGACUGCAAGACCCACAAGUCGAGCAGGAGCGAAAGCUGGCCUUAGUGAUCCGACGGUGCCGUGUGGAAGGGCCGUCGCUCAACGAAUAAAAGUUA
This 368-nucleotide ribosomal RNA is filed under the name uncultured organism. RNAcentral's name for it is "bacterial LSU rRNA". It matches the Rfam family "Bacterial large subunit ribosomal RNA", at positions 2099 to 2465 of the family's 2925-position model. The record is from RNAcentral.